This 2878-nucleotide ribosomal RNA is filed under the name Escherichia coli. Its description in RNAcentral is "bacterial LSU rRNA". It matches the Rfam family "Bacterial large subunit ribosomal RNA". The record is from RNAcentral. Lineage: Bacteria; Pseudomonadati; Pseudomonadota; Gammaproteobacteria; Enterobacterales; Enterobacteriaceae.
UUAAGCGACUAAGCGUACACGGUGGAUGCCCUGGCAGUCAGAGGCGAUGAAGGACGUGCUAAUCUGCGAUAAGCGUCGGUAAGGUGAUAUGAACCGUUAUAACCGGCGAUUUCCGAAUGGGGAAACCCAGUGUGUUUCGACACACUAUCAUUAACUGAAUCCAUAGGUUAAUGAGGCGAACCGGGGGAACUGAAACAUCUAAGUACCCCGAGGAAAAGAAAUCAACCGAGAUUCCCCCAGUAGCGGCGAGCGAACGGGGAGCAGCCCAGAGCCUGAAUCAGUNUGUGUGUUAGUGGAAGCGUCUGGAAAGGCGCGCGAUACAGGGUGACAGCCCCGUACACAAAAAUGCACAUGCUGUGAGCUCGAUGAGUAGGGCGGGACACGUGGUAUCCUGUCUGAAUAUGGGGGGACCAUCCUCCAAGGCUAAAUACUCCUGACUGACCGAUAGUGAACCAGUACCGUGAGGGAAAGGCGAAAAGAACCCCGGCGAGGGGAGUGAAAAAGAACCUGAAACCGUGUACGUACAAGCAGUGGGAGCACGCUUAGGCGUGUGACUGCGUACCUUUUGUAUAAUGGGUCAGCGACUUAUAUUCUGUAGCAAGGUUAACCGAAUAGGGGAGCCGAAGGGAAACCGAGUCUUAACUGGGCGUUAAGUUGCAGGGUAUAGACCCGAAACCCGGUGAUCUAGCCAUGGGCAGGUUGAAGGUUGGGUAACACUAACUGGAGGACCGAACCGACUAAUGUUGAAAAAUUAGCGGAUGACUUGUGGCUGGGGGUGAAAGGCCAAUCAAACCGGGAGAUAGCUGGUUCUCCCCGAAAGCUAUUUAGGUAGCGCCUCGUGAAUUCAUCUCCGGGGGUAGAGCACUGUUUCGGCAAGGGGGUCAUCCCGACUUACCAACCCGAUGCAAACUGCGAAUACCGGAGAAUGUUAUCACGGGAGACACACGGCGGGUGCUAACGUCCGUCGUGAAGAGGGAAACAACCCAGACCGCCAGCUAAGGUCCCAAAGUCAUGGUUAAGUGGGAAACGAUGUGGGAAGGCCCAGACAGCCAGGAUGUUGGCUUAGAAGCAGCCAUCAUUUAAAGAAAGCGUAAUAGCUCACUGGUCGAGUCGGCCUGCGCGGAAGAUGUAACGGGGCUAAACCAUGCACCGAAGCUGCGGCAGCGACNNNNNNNNNNNNNNNNNNNNNNNNNNNNNNNNNNNAUGCUGGAGGUAUCAGAAGUGCGAAUGCUGACAUAAGUAACGAUAAAGCGGGUGAAAAGCCCGCUCGCCGGAAGACCAAGGGUUCCUGUCCAACGUUAAUCGGGGCAGGGUGAGUCGACCCCUAAGGCGAGGCCGAAAGGCGUAGUCGAUGGGAAACAGGUUAAUAUUCCUGUACUUGGUGUUACUGCGAAGGGGGGACGGAGAAGGCUAUGUUGGCCGGGCGACGGUUGUCCCGGUUUAAGCGUGUAGGCUGGUUUUCCAGGCAAAUCCGGAAAAUCAAGGCUGAGGCGUGAUGACGAGGCACUACGGUGCUGAAGCAACAAAUGCCCUGCUUCCAGGAAAAGCCUCUAAGCAUCAGGUAACAUCAAAUCGUACCCCAAACCGACACAGGUGGUCAGGUAGAGAAUACCAAGGCGCUUGAGAGAACUCGGGUGAAGGAACUAGGCAAAAUGGUGCCGUAACUUCGGGAGAAGGCACGCUGAUAUGUAGGUGAAGUCCCUCGCGGAUGGAGCUGAAAUCAGUCGAAGAUACCAGCUGGCUGCAACUGUUUAUUAAAAACACAGCACUGUGCAAACACGAAAGUGGACGUAUACGGUGUGACGCCUGCCCGGUGCCGGAAGGUUAAUUGAUGGGGUUAGCGCAAGCGAAGCUCUUGAUCGAAGCCCCGGUAAACGGCGGCCGUAACUAUAACGGUCCUAAGGUAGCGAAAUUCCUUGUCGGGUAAGUUCCGACCUGCACGAAUGGCGUAAUGAUGGCCAGGCUGUCUCCACCCGAGACUCAGUGAAAUUGAACUCGCUGUGAAGAUGCAGUGUACCCGCGGCAAGACGGAAAGACCCCGUGAACCUUUACUAUAGCUUGACACUGAACAUUGAGCCUUGAUGUGUAGGAUAGGUGGGAGGCUUAGAAGUGUGGACGCCAGUCUGCAUGGAGCCGACCUUGAAAUACCACCCUUUAAUGUUUGAUGUUCUAACGUUGACCCGUAAUCCGGGUUGCGGACAGUGUCUGGUGGGUAGUUUGACUGGGGCGGUCUCCUCCUAAAGAGUAACGGAGGAGCACGAAGGUUGGCUAAUCCUGGUCGGACAUCAGGAGGUUAGUGCAAUGGCAUAAGCCAGCUUGACUGCGAGCGUGACGGCGCGAGCAGGUGCGAAAGCAGGUCAUAGUGAUCCGGUGGUUCUGAAUGGAAGGGCCAUCGCUCAACGGAUAAAAGGUACUCCGGGGAUAACAGGCUGAUACCGCCCAAGAGUUCAUAUCGACGGCGGUGUUUGGCACCUCGAUGUCGGCUCAUCACAUCCUGGGGCUGAAGUAGGUCCCAAGGGUAUGGCUGUUCGCCAUUUAAAGUGGUACGCGAGCUGGGUUUAGAACGUCGUGAGACAGUUCGGUCCCUAUCUGCCGUGGGCGCUGGAGAACUGAGGGGGGCUGCUCCUAGUACGAGAGGACCGGAGUGGACGCAUCACUGGUGUUCGGGUUGUCAUGCCAAUGGCACUGCCCGGUAGCUAAAUGCGGAAGAGAUAAGUGCUGAAAGCAUCUAAGCACGAAACUUGCCCCGAGAUGAGUUCUCCCUGACUCCUUGAGAGUCCUGAAGGAACGUUGAAGACGACGACGUUGAUAGGUCGGGUGUGUAAGCGCAGCGAUGCGUUGAGCUAACCGGUACUAAUGAACCGUGAGGCUUAACCUU